RNAcentral lists this long non-coding RNA (7022 nucleotides) under Mytilus galloprovincialis (Mediterranean mussel). The record is from RNAcentral. Lineage: Eukaryota; Metazoa; Mollusca; Bivalvia; Mytilida; Mytilidae.
UGACGAAGCAUUUUUUGAAACUAUCUACCUGUAUUAUACCUGUUCUAAGUGUACCCACAACUAUUACAAGAAGAUCUGCGUAUAAGGAAAACUAAAAAGAAAAGCAAAGAUGGGCGUGAAAGUUCAUGUUGAAUAUUGGUAUGUUAUUGUUUUCAUUCAUAUUUAUUUUUGUAAUGUAAUUGUUUUUUAUUCACAUUUAUCAUUUGAAUUUUUUUUUUAAAUAAAUGGAAUCAGCUGUGAUAUUGAUUUUUUCAUUAUUUAGUUUCAGGUGAAUUUUAAUUUAGUUUAGGAAGAUCGAUUGCUUUGUGUUUGCUCAACGUCAAACGGAAAUAUUUUCUUAUUCUUCUGGGCAAGGUUUUGAUAGAUAAUACUUCCCUACACUCAAACAGAUAAAUAAAUUAAAAAAAAAAGCAAAAUGCAUAAUCCAGGGAAUUGAAUCUAUACAUGUAUAUCUGGAUCUUGAAAAUGUAUGUAUGUCCCAUUGCAAAAAUCAAAUGAUGUUUAUUCUUGAGGUAAUCGUAUAAUAGGUCAAAAUGUACAACUGAUAAAAAUGUCAGAACUCAUGUACUGGUAUCAUUUGAAUAAAUAAAGAACGAAGUGUGUGUUACUGUUUGGAUUAAGCAACAUUUAUAGUAACAAGUAUUCAUUUGUAUGUUUCGGAAAGACGUGCGGCAUCUGUUGUCUCUUUGAAAAAUUACCCGUUUCCAUUUUCUAAUAAUUAUAUCUAUAUUUUAAAAAUAUUAUUAUUUAUCAAAUUUAAGUCGUUUACCUUAAAUAUCAAUUUAUUAUAAAAAUCAAUAGCGAAUUUGGCUUGAAUGUGUUUAAGUACAAGCAUAUACAAAUGAAAAACUUUCAUAAACAUCGAUAUAUAAUGCAUGACCUAGACUUCUUUUCUAAUUAAGUAAUUUUUAAAGGUAUAUAAUACAUUAAACACAUAUUAUAUGAUCUAUUAUAAAAUGGUGUGUGAAGCAUAUGAAGGAUUAUUCAGAUAAUCAUGACACAGCAAGUUUUAAUUUCACAAAUGAUACCUAAAUAGGAAGUAAUUCUAUAUUUUCUAUUUAAAAUUGAUAUGUUCCCCGACAUGAGAACACCCUCAGGGUUACAAUCAAUUAAUCGAUCUUCCGACCUGCAGUAAAGCGACAACCGCAUCCCCUUUAUAUGGGGAAUUGAAAAUCCGAAGCCUCGUGUAUAGAUAGUGCAUCGCUCUCUACACGUUAUGAAACUACGGAACUCCUUGGGGCCUAUUGUAAGGCUAGAUUUUAGUUUAUAUCCAAAAUAUCCUCUUGUUCCAGUGGCCGUCCGAAUUUUUCGCAUUUUUAUCCUGAUCAACCUCUAUCACUGGACUAAAGCAUUAUAAACUUGUCUUCGUUCUAAACAUACAUGAACUAUUUGCUACUGGACGUACAAAAAUAUUAAUCAAUAAUUUAUUAAAAUGGGCUACUUUUACAAAUAGUGACUAGGAUAUAGAGUAGCAACUUGUCUCAUUGCUAUUCAUACCUCAUCUUUUUAUAUCUACAUAUUGAUUUAAAUGGAAAAUGCAGAACUUUAAGUUUAGUCUAUAAAAUAUUUUCAAGUUCUAAUUCUUGACAUAACAAUUGAAACAAUUCUACAUAUUUUUAAAUAUUUUUCACAUAUAAAACCUGAAUGGGAGGUAAUUCUAUAUUUUUUAUUUUAAAUUUCUAUUUUAUUCGACAUAAGAACACCAUUCACUGCCAUUAGCAUGACUAGGGGGUUAAGACAUGUUGUCAUAUCUGUGUCUUCUCCUGACAACCAGGCAUCGUGGUGACCAAGUGGUCUAGAAGCUAUACCACAAGGUUGUGAACACUCAGGUUGUGAAACCGCACAUGGCAGAUGUUUUCGAUUCCAAUUUAAAUUGGUAAGGAUUUUAUGCUGAGGGUCUGUGGUUCUCUUCAAUUUACCCCCCCUUGUUUUUAUCCUUAUCAAAACAGCUGGAUGAUACGAAAUAGCCAGCUUGAAUUGAUAAUAAUUUUAGCAAUCUUCCGACCGGCAGUAAAGCGGAAAUAAUUGAAAGAUCUUGAAAAGUUAAAUCCGAUGGGUCUUGUAUAUAGUAUAAACCGUUUUACAACUCUGAGGGAUCCUAAGGUAGCCUGUUGCGUGGCUGAAUUGCUGUCCCUAUCCAAUACAGUAAACCAACUAAUUUUUGCGAGCUAUUUAUUCUCGUGACUUUCGUCAGUAAAAUAAUUACUCGUAUAUUAAUCGCCGCGGAAAUGUACAAAUAGGAUCUUUCAUUAUUUGAAUACAUCAAGUAGUUUGAAAAUCGUCAAAUUAAACCGUUACGUUGUGAACUUGAAAGAUCUAAACGCGAAAAAAAGUAUCCGCGAAAAUAAGUUGGUUGCAAGCACGCCCUCUUGUUCCAGUGGAAGUCCAAAUUUUCCGCCAUUCAUCGCGAUUCACAUAUACUACAUGACUUAUUCAUUGUUAAUUCGCUUUCGUCCUGAACAUGCACGAAAUAUUUGCCACUAGUCAUUCAAUCGUUCAUUUAAAUGAACCACAUAUUUAUGGAAAAUGCAGAGCUGUAACUUUAAGUGUAAUCUAUAAAAUAUCUUCAUUUUCUAAUUCUUAUUUGAUUUGAUUUAUGAUUUUUAAUCUCAUAUUUAUCCUGAAAACAAUGUAUGGAAGUAAUAUUUGCGAAAACAUAUAAAGGAAUUGCCAGUUUUUUUCUGAUUAAAAAUGUAAUGAUUUCCUUAUUUAUAUUUAUUACCUACAUGCACUGACAACAAUGAGAUUUUUGUUAUCCAUUAUAAAAAUACUUAUGAAAACAUGUAUGUUUAUCUCAUUUCAUAUUUUACAGUAGCGGAUGAGGUUACGCAGGCAAGUAUGAGGCGCUUCGAAAGCGCAUCCUUGCCGAGGUACCUGACGCUGACGUCGUAGGGUCAAAGGGUCGCAGAAGUACGUAUAGUUUACAAUAUAGAAAUAUAGGAAAAUAUAUAUGACAAACAUUAUAUACAGUGAUACCUGUCUAAUCUAUACUAUGUUUUUAAGUCAAGUCAUAUAAAGUUUUAUUUGUUAUGAACCUGAUUAUAAAACCGAACUUCUACCAAAACCGAACACAAUCUCAAGUCCCGAAGCAGUAAGUUCAGAAUGUUUUCACUUUACCUUAGAUUUACAAUCAUGCAAUGUCCGGAGAUGUGAAGUGCAAGACAAAAUCCUAGGCCAAAACAAUAAACCUUGGAAUUUUAUACAAAAGGUGUCUUGAUAUUUUCGUUUUUGUUCUGUCAAAUAUUGAUAAAUACGUGUAGUUGUAAACAAAAAUUGCUUAAAGGCGUUCUCCUUUAUCUUUUUUUUUUUGCGAGACGAGAUAUUCCGUUGGUCCAAACAUAAUAAACUUACUAAACUAGAAUGAUAACGACGUUAACUAUAAAAUACAACUUGCGAAGAAAAGAAAAUAAAACAGACACGAACCAACAACAACCACUGAACUGGAAACUCCUGGCUUGUGACUUGUACUUGAACAUUAUUGCAUGGUUAAUAUUAAAAAAAAAUGUGGUAUGAUUGCCAAUGAUACAACUGUCAACAACAGACCAAAAUGACACAGAAAUUAACAACUAUAGGUCAUCGCACGGCCUUCAACAAUGAGCAAAGCCCAUACCGCAUAGUCAGCCCCGAAAUGACAAUGUAAAAUAAUUCAAACGAGAAAACUAACGGCCUUAUUUAUGUAAAAAAAAGAAUCAUGUUUGUGAGCUCUCAACCCUCUCCCUAACCUGGGACAUUGGUGUAACUGUACAAAAUAAGAACCGAUACCGUUUUACAUUAUUUGUUGACGAUGAAAUUUCUUGGUGUCUAUGGACAAAUAUUUCAAGUAUAUCUUGAACGUACAUGAAUUAAGUAUUAGAUCAAUUAUCAAUUGUUUUGCAAUUUUGCAUCCGAUCCCUCGUGUAAAGAGAGUGCAACAGUAUUUGCACGUUAAGAACCCUUGCAACAACUCUUUGAGGGGUCCGUAGGUGGCCUGUUGCAAUGUAAAAUUUCUGUCCCUAUCCAAUAUACCCUCAUUUCGCAGUGGCAGUCCAAAUUUCCCCGACCAUCAUCCCAGAUGGCCUCUCUUGUGACAAGACCUACCUAUUAUAUUUAUUGUGAACUUGUUCUCGUCCUGAAUAUGCAUGAAACAUUUGCCACUGGAAGUUAGGCAACCAACAAUCAAUCAAUCAAUUUUGCAAUGUUGGUCGAAUAUUAUCAAUAACAGAUAAUCUUCCUUUUCCAACCAGACGUAACUGGCAGCGUACAUGCAUACUUGUACAUCCCAUAACAAGACAAGUGCAAUUUUCUUCUUCGUUUUUGAAGCAUUUUUAAAUAAUUAUUCUUUUUUGUACUUUUUGAAUUAAUUUAUCAAACAUUUUCAAACAAAAGACAACAAGACCAAAACUUGUGUAUUUUAAAAUUGAAGCGGUUCCCGAUAGAUAAUUUAUUUGUUUCAAAUGGAAAGAUAGAAAUCCUAAGGGAAAAAGAAUUUGUUAUUCUAUAAAUCAUGUAAAUGACAAUAUCAUAAUCCGAAGUUUGAAAUAAAUGCCAGGGAAAACGACCAAUCGUCUUCGAGAGAGAUCAAAGAAAAACAUUGAAUAAGAUGAGUAGCGACGGAUUUUUAUAAUUAAUUUACUAUCAUCUGUACCCAUAACUUCAAUAUAAUGCAGUAUAUCAUAUUGGGUUUUUCGUUCAUUGUCAUGUAAAUAACCCUAAUAAGUUUUCACCCUUGAUUGUAUAUGCGUUUGCCAUCUUUUUGCCUUUUUAUAGAUAACUAUGUAGUAUACGGGUUUUAUUCAUUUUUGAAGGCUGCAUUGCGUCCUAUAAUUGUAAACCUCGAUUUUUUUGGCAGUUAACUUAGUCUCUGGUGGAGAGGGGUUUCACUGGCAAACAUAACAAAUAUUUUUAUUCCUCUAAUUCUAUGGAAAUAUAUCCCUUUCAUAACCCAUUGUAUAAAACAAUUUAAUCAACGUGUGGUUGCCUGUGAUCUCAGAUGAUGAUUGGCUGAGUAAAAAGGUCACAACCUUUCUCGGCUCCCUGAAAUUAUCAAAGUGUUAAUGCAAUUGACAACUUCGUGGAAGUACAAGGCACUCGAAUGGGAUUUUUAGUUUAGAAAUUUUAUCUGUUAAUCAUUAGAGAAACUAAUCAUUAGAUAGUAACGUUUGGGUUAUCGGAUUUAUCAAAUCUCGAUAGUACAAUUAUAAAUUUUUCAGUCCGAGCCUCGGCGAGGACUUUAAAUUUGAUAAUUUAACUAUGACGAUUGGAUAAAUCUGAUAACUCAGUGACACUUGUAUCAAUGCAAUACUUUAUAUUUAUUAUUUAUACAUAUGAUAUAUAUAUAUAAAUUUUUUUAUUUUAGCUUCAUUUGAAAUUACGAUCAAUGAUACAGAGGUUUUUUCUAAAUUGAAGUUGAAAGGUUGGCCAAUCGAAGAGGAUGUAAGUUCGAUUUAUUUUUUCAUGUGUAUUAGUCCAAGGUAGUUUAAUAAUCUUUAACGUUGGACUCCACUUGUCCGUAUGAUGAAAGUGUUUGGUAGCCUUAGAUAUAAAAAAAAACUGAAUAUAGGUGAUCAUAGGUAAACCGAUAGAAUUAUGAACUGACGUCAUGUAAAAGAUAGUCAAAAUAUACCAAAUAGAUAUUCAAUAACGAAAAACGAUGAACAGAGUGAGACUAACAGAACUUGUUUUUCCCAACAUAGAAAACCGAAAACCGAGCAACACGAAUACAUGCAAUAACCGGAUGGUCGCAGGCGCUUCGGACGGGUAAUCAGAUCCUGUUCCACAUGCAAAUAUCCUGUAGAUUAAUAAAGAUUUUAUGCAUUUGGCCAUAUACAGUCUUUUUCAUUUAAUUCCCGAUUUGAACAUUGACGUAUAUGUAAUUGUCAGCUAAAAAAAACUAUAUCAAAUAAUUAUCUAGAUUGACCAGAAUAAUAAGCUUAGUUACACGAUACUUGUUAGCCAUGGACAUAUAUAUGUAUUAAAGGGGAUGGGAUUGCAAAAAAAAAAAAAAAAAAUCAGAAAUAAUUUUGAUUGUCACAGAAAAUAAAUGGAUUUCAAUGGUCUCUGUCUUCUAUAUGAAUAGACCGAUUAGAAAGCAACAGACGAAAAAAAUGCCACACAUAGAAAUACAUGACUAAAUACAUUAUUUGCAUACAAAGUAGACGCUUAGCCGCAGUUAUUCAAGGUUGCUUUUCGUUUCACAAGUAACCCUCUUUAAACAUAUCCACCAGUCUAUACACAAACAGUUGAACGGUAGCUGAACAAUUAACAAGUAGAUAUUAGUGUAUAAUAUAUAAAGAUGAUAUGUCAGAUAAUAUAAACCAUACAACUGAUGUAUUCAUUGCAAUUUGAUUUGAUUUUUUUGUGUUUUAACACCACUUUUAAGCACCGCUUUUGGGCUAUUUCGUGGAAGCCAGUUUUUAUUUGUUGAGGAAGCCGGAGUGUCUGGAAAAAACCCAAUCGACCUUCGAUAGGAAAACUGACAAUCGUAGUCAAUUAAGAUUGGAGUCGAGUUCACCUUAUUGCAAUUUGAAUAAGGCAAAAAAAAAAACCUUAGUUACGGUAGUCAGAGAUUGAGCAGGAUGAAACCAUUAUUUCAGAGCACACGAAUGAGAUCCCCGUGGUUUUUUAGGGAGUUCUUGCUGUCGUUUUUCUAUGUUAAAAUGUAUUGUGUACGGUUUUUUUGUUGUUUUAUUUUGCCAUAAUAUGGUUAGUUUGUUUUUGACUUUUAAGAUUGAAUAUCCCUUUGACAUGUUUGCCUUUCUUUAUCAAUAAAUUGCUGAAAUACGACAUAUUUUUUUUUUUAUGUUUCAGCUGAUUGAGGUUAUACGACAAGCUGAUCAUGGUAUGGAACCAAAAGAAUUAUCAACGUGCAGGAAAGCUUGUUGUGUCAUUUGUUAAACUGGGAUGUGAUUAAAAAGACGGACAUUAAAAUAUUUGUAAAAUGUAAAACAAAAAUUUUAUUCGCAUUUGCCAUUCAUGUAGCUCACUGAAUGAAAGAUGUAAAAACCAAACACUUAAACAAACGAAAUAAAAAGUGGAACUCUUAA